CCUACGGGAGGCAGCAGUGGGGAAUAUUGGACAAUGGGGGGAACCCUGAUCCAGCCAUGCCGCGUGUGUGAAGAAGGCCCUCGGGUUGUAAAGCACUUUCAGUGAGGAAGAACGCCUGGUGGUUAAUACCCAUCAGGAAAGACAUCACUCACAGAAGAAGCACCGGCUAACUCCGUGCCAGCAGCCGCGGUAAUACGGAGGGUGCGAGCGUUAAUCGGAAUUACUGGGCGUAAAGCGCGCGUAGGUGGCUUGAUAAGCCGGUUGUGAAAGCCCCGGGCUCAACCUGGGAACGGCAUCCGGAACUGUCAAGCUAGAGUGCAGGAGAGGAAGGUAGAAUUCCCGGUGUAGCGGUGAAAUGCGUAGCGAUCGGGAGGAAUACCAGUGGCGAAGGCGGCCUUCUGGACUGACACUGACACUGAGGUGCGAACGCGUGGGUAGCAAACAGGAUUAGAUACCCGAGUAGUC
RNAcentral lists this ribosomal RNA (465 nucleotides) under Vreelandella stevensii. RNAcentral's name for it is "partial 16S ribosomal RNA". It matches the Rfam family "Bacterial small subunit ribosomal RNA", at positions 338 to 795 of the family's 1533-position model. The record is from RNAcentral. Lineage: Bacteria; Pseudomonadati; Pseudomonadota; Gammaproteobacteria; Oceanospirillales; Halomonadaceae.